Molecule: ribosomal RNA, 510 nt
Filed under: Rana amurensis
Lineage: Eukaryota; Metazoa; Chordata; Amphibia; Anura; Ranidae
Description: partial large subunit ribosomal RNA
Rfam family: Bacterial large subunit ribosomal RNA
Source: RNAcentral
UCAACGGCCGCGGUACCCUAACCGUGCGAAGGUAGCAUAAUCACUUGUUCUCUAAAUAAGGACUUGUAUCAACGGCACUACGAGGGUUAUACUGUCUCCUUUUUCCAAUCAGUGAAACUGAUCUCCCCGUGAAGAAGCGGGGAUCAAAAUAUAAGACGAGAAGACCCCAUGGAGCUUUAAACUCACUGUACACCUCUAUGUUCCUAUAUCCUUAUAACACAAGAAACCUGUACAUUAGUUUUAGGUUGGGGGGACCACGGAGUACAACUUAACCUCCAUAACAAAUGGGCUAACACCCUUAUCCACGAGACACAACUCUAAGAAUUAAUAGACUAAUGCUUAUGACCCGAUAUUCGAUCAAUGAACCAAGUUACCCUGGGGAUAACAGCGCAAUCUACUUCAAGAGCCCAUAUCGACAAGUAGGUUUACGACCUCGAUGUUGGAUCAGGGUAUCCCGGUGGUGCAACCGCUACCAAUGGUUCGUUUGUUCAACGAUCAAAACCCUACGUG